RNAcentral lists this ribosomal RNA (2151 nucleotides) under Triticum aestivum (bread wheat). Its description in RNAcentral is "partial small subunit ribosomal RNA". The record is from RNAcentral. Lineage: Eukaryota; Viridiplantae; Streptophyta; Magnoliopsida; Poales; Poaceae.
AUGGCUUCAUCCGCCGCCGCUUCCUCCCCUCUCUCCGGCCAGAUCACCGAGCGCCUCACCCGCACCAACUACGUCUUAUGGCGCACCCAGAUCACGCCACAGCUGAGAGGGGCUGGAGUCUUCGGAUACGUUGAUGGAAGCACGGCGGAGCCGGCCAAGCUCGUCGUCAGCAAGGACAAGGAUGGAAAGGAGGAAGCCAUCCCCAAUCCCCUCCAUGCCGUCUGGUUCAGAGAGGACCAGCAGGUACUUGGGUAUCUUCUCAAUAAUCUGUCAAAAGAAGUAUUAGUGCAGGUGACUUCCAUCGCGCAUGCACGAGAGCUCUGGACAGCGUUGGCGAGCAUGUUCUCGUCGACGUCCCUGUCCCGCGUCAACAACAUCCGAGCUGCCCUCACAAAUGCGCAAAAGGGGACGCAAUCGGUGGCUACCUUCUUCGCGUACAUGCGGGGACUCGCCGACGAGCUCGCCGCGGCUGGCAAGCCGUUGAAGGAUGAUGAACUCAUCUCGUACAUCCUCAACGCACUCGACAUGGAGUAUCAGCCGCUGGUUUCCGCCCUCGACGCCAGAACCACUCCGGUCACCCUCGACGAAUUGUUCGGACAGAUGAGCAAUUUUGAUCAGAGGGUGGCUCUUUUCCAAGGCGCGGGAGGUGGCUUCAAGUCAUCUGCCAAUGUUGCCACCCGCGGCCGUGGCGGGGGCUCUCGUUACCGCGGUCCACCGCGGAACGGAAAGGGCAGGAGCGCCCACAACAGCAACAGCAGCGGCGCUACCAACACGCGCGGCGGCCGGCCUCCCUCCUCCAACAACAAAGGCCGCCGCAACAGCAGCUCCAACAACAGAUCACGCCCCGACAUCAGGUGCCAAAUCUGUGGCAAGCCGGGUCACUCGGCAAAGGACUGCUGGUAUCGUUUUGAGGAGGAUGAAGAUGACUCAUCUCAGGAUGAGAAGGUGGCCGGAGCUGCUGAUGGCUCUUACGGCGUCGACACAAAUUGGUACGUCGACAGCGGCGCCACAAACCACAUCACCGGUGAGCUGGAGAAGGUGACCAUGCGUGAGAAGUACCGUGGCAAAGAUCACAUCCACACUGCAAGUGGAGAAGGUAUGAAAAUUAGUCAUGUUGGUCACUCAAUUGUUAAAACCCCUCAUCGAAAAAUUCACCUUAGAAUUUUUUUGCAUGUCCCUAGCGCCUCAAAGAGUCUUCUUUCAGUCCAUCGUAUUGCUAUUGACAAUCAUGUCUUUCUUGAAUUUCACCCUCAUUUCUUUUUGAUCAAGGAUCAGGCAACGAAGAAGGUGCUUUAUCGAGGUAGAUGCGUUCGUGGGCUCUACCCUUUGAUUUCGGAGAUUAGAAGACUCAAUAAACAAGUUUUUAGUGCCACCAAAGUGUCUUCAACACGAUGGCACGAUCGUUUAGGGCAUGCAUCUUUUUCUUUAGUUGAGCGUUUGCUUAGGAAAAAUAAGCUCCCAUAUGUUGGAGAGCGGGAUGUCGAAACAGUUUGUGAUUCAUGUCAAAAGGCUAAAAGCCAUCAAUUACCUUAUCCAGUUUCUACCAGCAUUUCUACAAAACCUUUGCAACUUGUCUUCUCCAAUGUGUGGGGUCUUGCCCCCUCUUCUGUUGGUAGACACACGUAUUAUGUGAGUUUCAUAGACGACUAUAGCAAAUUUUCCUGGAUUUACCUUCUUAAGAAGCGAUCCGAUGUGUUUCAAGUCUUUCUGAACUUCCAAGCUCUUGUUGAGCGCCAAUUUGAUUGCAAAAUUCUUGCUCUCCAAUCCGACUGGGGUGGAGAAUAUGAAAAGUUAAAUUCUUUCUUUCAGAAAAUUGGCAUAUCUCAUCAUGUAUCUUGCCCACAUGCUCACCAACAAAACGGGUCUGCUGAACGCAAGCACAGACACAUCGUUGAAGUUGGUCUAGCAUUACUUGCUGGUGCCUCUAUGCCCCUCAAGUUUUGGGAUGAGGCUUUCCUUGCGGCUGUUCACAUCAUCAACAUGCUACCUAGUCGUGUCAUCAACUAUGAAACUCCUAGAGCGUCUCCUUCAUACCAAACCCGACUACACUACUCUUCGAGUGUUUGGUUGCGCCUGUUGGCCCAAUCUUCGUCCCUACAACUCUCGCAAGCUCAUGUUUCGCUCCAAACAGUGCGUCUUCCUAGGCUAUAG